AGCAUUUGAGGAUAGAAAUGGCAGCUAUCACCCAUUGUUAGGAGAUACAGGAAGGUCAACCUGUCUUAUGCU
RNAcentral lists this non-coding RNA (72 nucleotides) under unclassified sequences. RNAcentral describes it as "skipping-rope RNA". It matches the Rfam family "skipping-rope RNA". Rfam says of the family: Firmicutes, Fusobacteria, AlphaProteobacteria, Spirochaetes. The record is from Rfam by way of RNAcentral.